AAACAGAGCUCGAGCGUCAUAGUUCGGGAGCAGUUGGAAAGAGGAACGCUUAUUACGUCGACACAUUUCGAUCACAUCGGGAUGCUGAGGCAAGCCAUCUUGAUCCUUGUCGUAGCAGUCGCUGUCGCUAGUGCCUUCUAUGAAACGUGGCGAUACCAUGGAUUCCAGCCGUACAACCCAUGGAUAUAUGGAGCCGGCACAGAUCAUGUUAAAUAUGAUGACAUAGAAAAGGGACAAAACAGACCACCAGCUCUGGAUUAUUGAUCCCAUGUCAGUGUAAUUCCUGUCAAGAGCCUUCGACCGAGUUGUCAUAUUUAAUCAGGCCGAGUCGGAAUGCGAUCGCAAAUGAUGAAUAUCGUUCAAAUUACUGAAACAUUUAAAGCUUGGAAUAUAGCCCCAGCUGAACUUUGUUUAAACAGCAUUCCAAUACCGCCUGUAUGUAAGUAAAAUAUCUAGCAGGAAUCCAAGUCUCCUACUAAAUACAUCUGAAAGG
Haliotis rubra (blacklip abalone) is the source of this 493-nucleotide long non-coding RNA. RefSeq lists it as uncharacterized. The record is from RefSeq and is a predicted model, not a curated record. The transcript is spliced from 2 exons. NCBI's taxonomy places the organism in Eukaryota, Metazoa, Mollusca, Gastropoda, Lepetellida, Haliotidae.